Gorilla gorilla gorilla (western lowland gorilla) is the source of this 672-nucleotide long non-coding RNA. RefSeq lists it as uncharacterized. The transcript has 3 exons. NCBI's taxonomy places the organism in Eukaryota, Metazoa, Chordata, Mammalia, Primates, Hominidae. The record is from RefSeq and is a predicted model, not a curated record.
GCGCUGGUGUUGGGGGCAGGAGGAGAAAGACAGGCAGGUCUCAUCUUACUUGGAUGCCUGUUGUAAGCUUGUAAUCCUCUCUGUUGGCCACCACAGCUCCUCCAUUUGAUGACGACGGGCCAUUUGUUCCAGGGCUCAUGGAUGGAAGGGACUUGCCUUGUCUCAGAUGAGACUUUGGACUGCAGCUUUUGACUUAAUGCUGAAAUGCGCACUUAUCAGGGACCUACCAAGCACUGAGCACAUCCGUGAAAUAAAACACAGGGCCAGGCGCGGUGGCUCAGGCCUGUAAUCCCAGCAUUUUGGGAGGCCGAGAUGGGCGGAUCAUGACGUCAGGAAUUCGAGACCAGCCUGACCAACAUGGUGAAACCCCGUCUCUACUAAAAAUACAAAAAUUAGCUGGGCGUGGUGUUGCAUGCCCAUAAUCCCAGCUAAUCAGGAGGCUGAGGCAGGAGAAUCACUUGAACCCGGGAGACGGAGGUUGCAGCCAGCGAAGAUCACGCCACUGCGCUCCAGCCUGGGCGACAGAGCAAGACUUCGUCUCAAAAUAAACCAAACCAAAACAAAAAAAGAACACACAGUUGUCACACUCAAGGAUUUUACCAUGGAGUUGAAGAGAAGAAACAUACACAUUUCAACAACAGUGAUCAAGCAUUCAUGAUGUAGCAGGCCCCC